RNAcentral lists this transfer RNA (71 nucleotides) under Echeneis naucrates (live sharksucker). It matches the Rfam family "tRNA". From Rfam's summary of the family: Transfer RNA (tRNA) molecules are approximately 80 nucleotides in length. Their secondary structure includes four short double-helical elements and three loops (D, anti-codon, and T loops). RNAcentral also lists the same sequence under 2 other names. The record is from Rfam by way of RNAcentral. Lineage: Eukaryota; Metazoa; Chordata; Actinopteri; Carangiformes; Echeneidae.
GGCUCGUUGGUCUAGGGGUAUGAUUCUCGCUUUGGGUGCGAGAGGUCUGGGUUCAAAUCCCGGACGAGCCC